GUCUACGGCCAUGCCACCCUGAACAAGCCCAAUCCUGUCUGAUCUCAGAAGCUAAGCAGGGUCGAGCCCGGUUAGUACUUGGAUGGGAGACCACCUAGGAAGACCAGGUGCUGUAGGCG
RNAcentral lists this ribosomal RNA (119 nucleotides) under Pteropus alecto (black flying fox). The record is from RNAcentral. Lineage: Eukaryota; Metazoa; Chordata; Mammalia; Chiroptera; Pteropodidae.